This 253-nucleotide ribosomal RNA is filed under the name uncultured bacterium. RNAcentral's name for it is "partial 16S ribosomal RNA". It matches the Rfam family "Bacterial small subunit ribosomal RNA", at positions 524 to 776 of the family's 1533-position model. The record is from RNAcentral.
UACGUAGGUGGCAAGCGUUGUCCGGAUUUACUGGGCGUAAAGGGCGUGCAGGCGGUCUGUUAAGUCUAGGGUGAAAGCUCCCGGCUCAACUGGGAGAGGUCCUUGGAUACUGGCGGACUUGAGGGAGGCAGAGGAAAGUGGAAUUCCCGGUGUAGUGGUGAUAUGCGUAGAUAUCGAGAGGAACACCUGCGGCGAAGGCGGGUUGCUGGGCCGACACUGACGCUGAUGCGCGAAAGCCAGGGGAGCGAACGGG